GAGCCCCGGAGUGAGUUGAAACCUUCACAGGUGGCUCGAGAAUCCGAGGUUUGCGGGGAGGGGGAGGUUAAGUGCUCCCUUUUCCAGAGACAAGUGCGGAGCCAAGGAGGCAGGCCAAGCCCCGGAAAGCAACGGAAAAUGAACUGUUUCUAAAGCUUUUUGAUGCUAGCAGUACACGGAAGAGUCAGAGGGGGAGGCCUAGGGAAGGAGGCCGCUGGCAGCAGCCCGUGCUGCCCUCAAGCUCAGGCCGCGUGGCAGGGCCUAGGUGCGGGCGGCAGCUGCAGCCUUCGCCCGCUCCGCACGCCGCUUGGGCAGCACCCGGGGGCGGUCGCCUCCAGCCCUCGCCGGGCCGCGCUUCCCGGCCUUGGGGCAUGAGAGCGUCUCGAUGUCCUUCGCCUAGUGAGGAAGACCUGGCUUGUCUUCUCGUCUGAGAGCAGUAUCUGCCUGCGAUGUGAUUCCAUAAUGUAAUCUGGGCUGAUCCCAAGAACUGAACUGGGCUCUCCACAGGAUCCAUCUGCUACCACAAUUACUUUUGGCCGGUCUGAAGGGAGAAUGCCAUACCCAGAGAAUGGCUGUGAUUAAUGCAGUGCUUUGGUUCCCACUUGCAUAAUAGGUUUUCAAGACAUUGUUUUCUUCAGAGCAACUGUCCCUGCAGCCAUAAUACCAUUCCCUGGAUUUACUGUGUACAGUCUGAGAGAGGCAGAGGUCACAGCGAGCUUGAAAAGAGAGCAUCUGGGUUCAGAUGUGGAAUACUAAGAAAUAUGACUGCAGAAGAUGACCAGGUUUGCAUAUUCUCACUAAAUUGCAUCUCCUUCUGCCACUGUUAGAGACAGUGUACUGGGCUAGGUGGAGCAUUGUUCUGACCUGGUGGGGCAUUUUACGUUAAGCAUGAUUGCUCAGUACUGCAUUAUAGGGGAUCUUCUGGGUCUUUGACAGAGCUCUGCUCUAAGCACUAUAAAUGAUGUUCCUCAUAAAUACUCCUAAUGCGUUUAGGAGCAAUCCAUCUCAUCUCCAGAAGCACCAUAUCUUUCUUGUUACAGUCAUGUCACUGGUGUUUCUGACCUUUAGGAACUCCAGGUCCAGGUUGUGAUGAUCCAAUUUGAAUCUUAAAGUGUGUCAGGUAGGACUCAAACAUUGGAAUGCAUUGACUCAUGAAAUUUAAUAUUUGACUUCCCUUCCUAAUGACAAUCAAUGCCUGCAAUAGAUCAUCUGGGUAAUAUGUAGAAGAUUAUAGAUCAAAAUUUUGUAUAUGAUACAGACAGUAAUAAGUAUUUUUUUGUUAUGUCAGCAGAGUUAUAUUAAAUAGGGCACAAAGCUUUUUUGUUGAGUCUUUUUUUGCAAUUAAGAGACUCAAGUAACUUCAUUAGUCUUCAUUAGUAUGAAAAUCUAAAAAUCAGGAGAUGAAUUUCGCACCAUUGCUCCUGAGAUUUCCAUGAGCUUCCACCAGUCUGCCAAAACUAGUCAUCAGUAUGAUGAACUGAUGAGAGACAAACUUAGUUUUGCUGAUGGAACUAAUAAUUUACUUUUGCUUUAGCUAUUGUUACAUAGAUACACUGACAACCAGAUUCUAGAUGAAGAGCUACAAUGUUCAUUUUUGAAAGUCGUUUCUAAAAGCAAAAAGGCAUAAUUAUUUCAUUUACCAGACAUCUGUAUCUCUGCUGACAGAACUAAGCGUUUAGCUGUAGUAGAAGGAUGUUUAUGCGAACCUUAUCGCUGUAUAGGCUGAGCAUUUGGAAUCCAAAAAGCAGAGAAAUGUGAGCUAGAAUAUACAGAACAAAAAUACUGAAGGCAUGCUAUCUACUGAUGUCUUUCCACCACAGUGAUUUUGCACUCUCAGAAAUCUUCUCAUUCCUUUCUGCUCUGUUAACUUUUUGCUCAUUUUCAGUCGUGGAGGAUUGCCACAGGGACCAAUGCUGCUUCGGUAGCAUCUUUUAUAUAAAACAGAUCUAGUACAUUUAAAUAUGGAGAUAUAUUUUCCUUAUUCUUAUCUCCCACUCCCUUUUGAGUCUUUUCAGUGACUCCAUGGAUAACAUUCUAGGCAUUCUUUGAUUAGUGAAGUAUUACACUCACAGGCUAGAGCCAUUAAACAACAACUAGUCUGAUCUUUUGCCAAUCAGAGGCCAAAAACCUCAUCCAAAAAUAAUCAGGGAUAUACUUCCCAGUCUGAAAAUGGAAAGGUUUCAAAGGCAGGAGACUGAAUUAUUUGUAUCCUGUAUUUUUUCAGACAUAUAAAGAUGGCAUUUUUCAGCUUUCAGCAUCCCCAAUUAGACUUCAGUAAUUCAGUCUCAGUUUUUUGAAAAUCCUUACCACCUGGCAAAAUACGUCUUUUAAAAUUUGAAUUUUAAAAUUUGAGACCAAAAAGUUUCUCUGCAAAUGAAAGUAAUCACCAACAAACCUUAACAUGAACCUCAGAUUUCUCUAUCAUGAUACCCUGUGAGAAAAGGUGAAUUUGUCACAUUAGCAGUCCCUGCCAAUUCAACUUGAACAACCGAGGGUUUUCUUUCUGAACCAGCCAACUAAUUAACAAAGAAGUGUGAGUGGAAUUUUUUGACACAGGAAAAUCCCAGGUUCCAUUCACAGGCUGUGUGGCUUAAACUGAACACACUAAUACUGCUUGGCACAAGCAUGAAACAGUGUCUAAAUGUGACCUUGAUAAGUUAAAUUUAGCUUCUAGUAUUUUCCCCUUUGCUCCUGCUAUUUAUCCAAUGUUUUUAAUUUAUGGUGUCCUGUAGUUAUUUGAGUGAUAGAAAACACUCACUGUUCUAAAUCUUAAGAAUUCCUUGCCAGUUAGUGAUACUACCAAUUCAGUAGAACAGGAGAUUGUACUGGUGGAUAUAGUGAAAUUACAUAUAUUUAAUCACUCUGUAAGAAAGACUGGGAGAAGACAGACAUUGCUUUAUCAGGUAUGAAAAAUAAACAAAAAAAAAUCCCAAAGGAAUGUACUGAAGUAUGUUCGAACCAAAGGUAUAAAAGAAGUAGGUUUUGGUCUCUAAUACUUCAAAACAAUAAAAUUGUUUUGAAACAGUUUUCCAGAAAUUUUGUCCAGAAAUUGUUUUCAAAUAGGAAAAUUACCCCAUGAAACAUUGUUUCCUGGAGUCUUGAGAAAAGCUUGAGUUCUUUGACACAAAUAGUAAAAUUGAAGUGUAAAAUAGAGUCAAACAUUCAAGAUUAAUAGAGAACAAAUAUGCUCCAUCUCCCAUAGUUCUGCACUCAUGUUGGCAUUUUUAAAGGUGUCCUUUGCAUCUCAAAAAUAUCCACCCUACUUUGGUAAAGCUUUCCAUAGCUAGGUCUCUGGCUAUCUUCCUGCAAGGGCACUAUAUCACAUGUCAGUUUAAUACAUUGGGGAUCUGUGCCAAUUUAUUACUUAAAAGCCAGCUAAUAUAUUUCAGUAAGCAGACUCCUCUUAUAAAAUACUGGUUCUCUGAAAUAAUUAAUCAGCAGAUUGCUCCAUGUAACAAGUUUGUUCUUAGUUUAUUUUAUAUUAUUACUCACUGUACUUUCAACUUCUAGUGUCUCAUGACUUCUAGAAAAGUAUUUUCUGCCUGCAUAUCUCCAUAACUAAUUAAUUCUUAGCAGAAUGCUUACUAAGUAGAUUAGAAAAAUGCUGUAGCUGCAGGCUGUAUUUAUGUUAAUUCAGAGAGAGUUUUAGUCUCAUGCUAGUCACCUUCUAACCUUUGUAACAGCAAUAUUUGAACACAGGAUCAAUGUUCAUCAACAUAUUGCCAAAAUACUUUUCCAUGUUCACUACUUCAUUUCAAUCCAUUAAGAUUUUGUUCCCCUGCUGCGGUACAGCUUACUGAAAUUUGGUGGAAUACGUACAAUUCUGAGAUCAGAGCUCCCAGAAAACACUUGGAAUCACAGAGGUUCUCAAGUGCUGAGACCCAGCCCAGGAGCUUAGCUGUUAGAAGCCCAAACUGGAAAUUACAGUUCUUUAGGCUCAUCCGUGAUCCUACGGCUAACAUGCUGCAUGUCAUUAGAACGGUGAAGAUACACGCUGUCUCUUUUUUUACCUACCUAUUAAAUAUUACAAUAUGGAUAGUCUCAGCAUGCAGAAAGGGAUGGUCUGUAGACUCUAGAUGACAAAAUUAUUUGUUUAUAUACACAGGUAAUUAGCUGGCAGGUUAGACAAAGCAAGCUAAAUUUCAGAAGCUAUGAAGAAAGAAAGAAAAGAAAACACAGCUGAAAUUAAUUACAUUCCAUUUCUGCAGCUUGAAAUUCAUGCAGUAUUUA
Non-coding RNA from Struthio camelus australis, 4230 nucleotides. The record is from RefSeq and is a predicted model, not a curated record. NCBI's taxonomy places the organism in Eukaryota, Metazoa, Chordata, Aves, Struthioniformes, Struthionidae.